GCCGGUAUUUUCAUUUUUCUGGCUUUUGAUAUAAGAAUAUAGCUUUCGUUGGUGUAUUUUUGAAGCAUGGUUGGUUUGGUUGCUGUAUUUCAAUAUCAAAGAUCAUAUUUUCUAUAUAUUGCCAGUAAGAGUUUCUUAUUUUUUUUUUUUGGAGCUUGGUUUAAAUUUCUUAAUAUUGUUUUUUGUACUUGCGAUUUCCUUUUUUCUUUUUGUUUUUUUGUUUUUCUUGUUACUUAGCUAUUUAGUUGGUUAUUUACCCAAGGUAGUUUUGAUUUAUGACUAAUGCUUUUUUAGGAAUAUUCUUAUCAAUAUACUUUUGGAUGUUUGUCUUUAAAGUAUUCAAUAGUUCACCGAGACUCAUUUUAUAUUGAUCUUGUUUUAGCUGUUUGUAUGUUUCAGUGAGUUUUUUUUUCUAUUUGGUCCCAAAUUGCCUUUUUGUAGUUUAAUAUUAUGUUAGCCUGUUGUUUAUUUU
RNAcentral lists this long non-coding RNA (472 nucleotides) under Mytilus galloprovincialis (Mediterranean mussel). The record is from RNAcentral. Lineage: Eukaryota; Metazoa; Mollusca; Bivalvia; Mytilida; Mytilidae.